Oncorhynchus tshawytscha (Chinook salmon) is the source of this 649-nucleotide long non-coding RNA. The record is from Ensembl. Lineage: Eukaryota; Metazoa; Chordata; Actinopteri; Salmoniformes; Salmonidae.
CAGCCUUGGGGGCAUGACAUGGAUUGUCACUGAACUGAUGCUCAGAUGAGAUACAGGGAUUUGUAUCUGUCUCUAGUCUUUCAUUAUACAUAACCAUUUCCUCAGACUCAGGUCCGUACAGUGACCUGGUGUGUUUGCAUUGUCCAGUGCUGCUCACAUCCCCCUCCAGGCUGUUCCCCUCCACAUAGGUACCAUCCUGACCUUCUACAUAGGAGUCAUCCUUGGGACAAUAAGUACCAUCCUCACAUUCCACGUAGGUUCUGUCUUGGUGUUCCGCGUAGGUUCUGUCUUGGUGUUCCGCGUAGGUUCUGUCUUGGUGUUCUGCGUAGGUUCUGUCUUGGUGUUCCACAUAGAUGCCAUCCUCACUAUCUACAUAACUUCCAUCCUGAGGCUCAGGAUAGUGUUUGUAGUACCUCACCUGCAUACUCUGGUCUUCCACCUGUAGUACCUGAUCAAUGUCUUGCUCCACACCCUCCACGUCCGAACCCACGUUGUCAUACUCUGAGCAGCUGUCCUCCUCCUCCUCUUCCUCCUCAUCCAUGCUGUCAGGGAUGAUGGUGUCACCGGGCUGGUUCAGCGGGGGCUCAGAGGAGACACUCGCUGUAGCAGGGACAGGAAGAGGUGAACCGGAGGGACUAAUCAGAUACGG